RNAcentral lists this ribosomal RNA (1252 nucleotides) under metagenome. Its description in RNAcentral is "bacterial SSU rRNA". It matches the Rfam family "Bacterial small subunit ribosomal RNA", at positions 243 to 1520 of the family's 1533-position model. The record is from RNAcentral.
AGCUAGUUGGUGAGGUAACGGCCCACCAAGGCGACGAUCGGUAGCCGGACUGAGAGGUUGAACGGCCACAUUGGGACUGAGACACGGCCCAGACUCCUACGGGAGGCAGCAGUGGGGAAUAUUGCACAAUGGGGGAAACCCAGAUGCAGCGACGCCGCGUGGAGGAAGAAGGUCUUCGGAUUGUAAACUCCUGUUGUUGGGGAAGAUAAUGACGGUACUCAACAAGGAAGUGACGGCUAACUACGUGCCAGCAGCCGCGGUAAAACGUAGGUCACAAGCGUUGUCCGGAAUUACUGGGUGUAAAGGGAGCGCAGGCGGGAAGACAAGUUGGAAGUGAAAUCCAUGGGCUCAACCCAUGAACUGCUUUCAAAACUGUUUUUCUUGAGUAGUGCAGAGGUAGGCGGAAUUCCCGGUGUAGCGGUGGAAUGCGUAGAUAUCGGGAGGAACACCAGUGGCGAAGGCGGCCUACUGGGCACCAACUGACGCUGAGGCUCGAAAGUGUGGGUAGCAAACAGGAUUAGAUACCCUGGUAGUCCACACCGUAAACGAUGAUUACUAGGUGUUGGAGGAUUGACCCCUUCAGUGCCGCAGUUAACACAAUAAGUAAUCCACCUGGGGAGUACGACCGCAAGGUUGAAACUCAAAGGAAUUGACGGGGGCCCGCACAAGCAGUGGAGUAUGUGGUUUAAUUCGACGCAACGCGAAGAACCUUACCAAGUCUUGACAUCCUGCGACGGUUCUGGAAACAGAGCUUUCCUUCGGGACGCAGAGACAGGUGGUGCAUGGUUGUCGUCAGCUCGUGUCGUGAGAUGUUGGGUUAAGUCCCGCAACGAGCGCAACCCUUAUGGUCAGUUACUACGCAAGAGGACUCUGGCCAGACUGCCGUUGACAAAACGGAGGAAGGUGGGGAUGACGUCAAAUCAUCAGGCCCUUUAUGACUUGGGCUACACACGUACUACAAUGGCGUUAAACAAAGAGAAGCAAGACCGCGAGGUGGAGCAAAACUCAGAAACAACGUCCCAGUUCGGACUGCAGGCUGCAACUCGCCUGCACGAAGUCGGAAUUGCUAGUAAUCGUGGAUCAGCAUGCCACGGUGAAUACGUUCCCGGGCCUUGUACACACCGCCCGUCACACCAUGAGAGCCGGGGGGACCCGAAGUCGGUAGUCUAACCGCAAGGAGGACGCCGCCGAAGGUAAAACUGGUGAUUGGGGUGAAGUCGUAACAAGGUAGCCGUAGGAGAACCUGCGGCUG